RNAcentral lists this ribosomal RNA (468 nucleotides) under uncultured bacterium. RNAcentral's name for it is "partial 16S ribosomal RNA". The stretch from base 54 to 468 matches the Rfam family "Bacterial small subunit ribosomal RNA", at positions 35 to 507 of the family's 1533-position model. The record is from RNAcentral.
GGGGGGGGGGGGGGGGGGGGGGGGGGGGUGGGGGUCGGGGGGGGGGGGGCUGGGUUGGUGGGGUGCUCGAGUGGCGAGCGGGGGAGUGACACGUGAGUAACCUGCCCUUGACUUUGGGAUCGCUUCAGGACACUGGGGCUAAUACCGGCUAGGAGCUCCUGCUUCAUGGUGGGGGUUGGAAAGUUUCUGCGGUUGGGGAUGGACUCGCGGCUUUUCAGCGUGUUGUUGGGUUCGUGGCUUACCCCGGCUUUGACGGGUAGCCGGCCUGAGGGGGUGACCGGCGACAUUGGGACUGAGACACGGCCCAGACUCCUACGGGAGGCAGGAGUGGGGAAUAUUGCCCAAUGGGCGGAAGCCUGAUGCAGCAACGCCGGGUGCGGGAUGACGGCCUUCGGGUUUUAAACCGCUUUCGACUGUGACGAAGCGUGAGUGACGGUAAUGGGUAAAGAAGCACCGGCUAACUACGUG